GUGGGGAAUCUUGCGCAAUGGGCGAAAGCCUGACGCAGCCAUGCCGCGUGGAUGAUGAAGGUCUUAGGAUUGUAAAAUCCUUUCACCGGUGAAGAUAAUGACUGUAGCCGGAGAAGAAGCCCCGGCUAACUUCGUGCCAGCAGCCGCGGUAAUACGAAGGGGGCUAGCGUUGCUCGGAAUUACUGGGCGUAAAUGGAGCGUAGGCGGACAUUUAAGUCAGGGGUGAAAUCCCGAGGCUCAACCUCGGAACUGCCUUUGAUACUGGGUGUCUUGAGUGUGAGAGAGGUGAGUGGAACUCCGAGUGUAGAGGUGAAAUUCGUAGAUAUUCGGAAGAACACCAGUGGCGAAGGCGACUCACUGGCUCAUUACUGACGCUGAGGCUCGAAAGCGUGGGGAGCAAACAGGAUUAGAUACCCUAGUAGUCC
RNAcentral lists this ribosomal RNA (425 nucleotides) under uncultured bacterium. RNAcentral describes it as "partial 16S ribosomal RNA". It matches the Rfam family "Bacterial small subunit ribosomal RNA", at positions 354 to 796 of the family's 1533-position model. The record is from RNAcentral.